CAGCAGCCGCGGUAAUGCGUAGGUGGCAAGCGUUGUCCGGAAUUAUUGGGCGUAAAGCGCGCGCAGGCGGAUCAGUCAGUCUGUCUUAAAAGUUCGGGGCUUAACCCCGUGAUGGGAUGGAAACUGCUGAUCUAGAGUAUCGGAGAGGAAAGUGGAAUUCCUAGUGUAGCGGUGAAAUGCGUAGAUAUUAGGAAGAACACCAGUGGCGAAGGCGACUUUCUGGACGAAAACUGACGCUGAGGCGCGAAAGCCAGGGGAGCGAACGGGAUUAGAUACCCCCGUAGUCCCUGUCUCUUAUACC
Molecule: ribosomal RNA, 301 nt
Filed under: uncultured bacterium
Lineage: Bacteria
Description: partial 16S ribosomal RNA
Rfam family: Bacterial small subunit ribosomal RNA
Source: RNAcentral